This 75-nucleotide transfer RNA is filed under the name Cordylochernes scorpioides. RNAcentral's name for it is "tRNA-Thr". Lineage: Eukaryota; Metazoa; Arthropoda; Arachnida; Pseudoscorpiones; Chernetidae. The record is from RNAcentral.
UGUCAAGGGAUGGGACUCGAACCCACGACCUUCCGCUUACCGGGCAGAUGCCAUGACCACUAGGCUACCCUGGAC